RNAcentral lists this ribosomal RNA (152 nucleotides) under uncultured beta proteobacterium. RNAcentral describes it as "partial 16S ribosomal RNA". It matches the Rfam family "Bacterial small subunit ribosomal RNA", at positions 338 to 482 of the family's 1533-position model. Lineage: Bacteria; Pseudomonadati; Pseudomonadota; Betaproteobacteria. The record is from RNAcentral.
CCUACGGGAGGCAGCAGUGGGGAAUUUUGGACAAUGGGCGCAAGCCUGAUCCAGCCAUGCCGCGUGUCUGAAGAAGGCCUUCGGGUUGUAAAGGACUUUUGUUAGGGAGCAAGUCCUGCAGGUUAAGAGCCAGUAGGGAUGAGAGUACCUAA